CCUACGGGAGGCAGCAGUGGGGAAUAUUGCACAAUGGGGGAAACCCUGAUGCAGCGACGCCGCGUGAGCGAUGAAGUAUUUCGGGGUGUAAAGCUCUAUCAGCAGGGGAGAAGAUGACGGUACCUGACUAAGAAGCUCCGUCUAACUACGGGCCAGCAGCCGCGGUAAUACGUAGGGGGCAAGCGUUAUCCGGAUUUACUGGGCGUAAUGGGAGCGUAGACGGCGCUGCAAGCCAGGUGUGAAAGCCCGGGGCUCAACCCCGGGACUGCAUUUGAAACUGUGUGGCUGGAGUGUCGGAGAGGCAGGCGGAAUGCGUGGUGUAGCGGUGAAAUGCGUAGAUAUUAGGAAGAACACCAGUGGCGAAGGCAGCCUGCUGGACGGUGACUGACGUUGAGGCUCGAAAGCGUGGGUAGCAAACAGGAUUAGAUACCCCUGUAGUC
Molecule: ribosomal RNA, 440 nt
Filed under: uncultured bacterium
Lineage: Bacteria
Description: partial 16S ribosomal RNA
Rfam family: Bacterial small subunit ribosomal RNA
Source: RNAcentral